Equus quagga is the source of this 1194-nucleotide long non-coding RNA. RefSeq lists it as uncharacterized. The record is from RefSeq and is a predicted model, not a curated record. NCBI's taxonomy places the organism in Eukaryota, Metazoa, Chordata, Mammalia, Perissodactyla, Equidae. The transcript has 2 exons.
GUGUGAAGCUGAAAGCUGCAGGCGAGACUCUACCUAGGAAAACGUCAGGUGACUUCGAGUAGGGUACAGCGCAGGACGAAGUGUGUGUCCAACGUGGACUAAAAUGUGGGAAGAGAUUCCUUUAUUAAAAAGCAGUCUACCUUCCUGGAAACAAUCCAUCACACUCCCUACGGAAGAGGAUCACACGCCCUGCGACUUCUCAACCUCUACGUGCUGAGAGACAGUCCAGGUUAAGGAACCUCUCAGGACUGCAGUCUGAAUGAGCAGAACCGAUGGCAAACGUUUCCAGCAUUCAGUGUUCAUCUAGCUCUCAAUGCAGGGAAUCUAAGCAUGUUACAUCAAGACAUAGAUAUGCAAAUUGAAGAGUAAUAUGAAUUGUUUAUAUUACAAAAUGUUCUUCAGCUGCCAUGCGCAAGUGCUACAGACCCUGCGCUCUUUGUAAGCCCCUCUGGAAUAAUGAAUGGGGACAACGAGAAACAAGCAGAGGGAUGCUCCGGUAUUGCCGGGGAGACAGGCUGCUAAGGGAAAGAAGGCUUUGAUGCUGAAUUCAGUUGUCUUUUCUCCUUCCUAAGUGCUUCCCCUGCUCGCAUCCUCCCUGCACCGUGGAGCAGCGUCUGUCUGAGGUUGGCAGCAGCACAAGGACAAAUCAAGACACUCAGAAGCAAAUGCUUUUGUUUUGCAGACAUAGGACCAGAGAUGCGGGGAAGUGUUACCCUGGGGCCUGAACAGCAUCAGGCGUGACAGCAGAUGUUUAGUGCCAUGGGUUGCACGGUGCCGCUGUUGAGUACCAGAUACUGAGGCGAUCUGCCUGUGACUUUUAAUAAAUAGUGUGUGUGUGCUGUCUAUUCAGAACCACUAAAGGGAGGAGUCCAGGGCAAGGGUUCCUCUUGCCCAAAUCUAAAGGCUCCAUUAGACAACCAACCAAGCACUCAAGCAGGAAGAUGAAGACUGCUGGCACCACAUGGCAGAUCAGAGACACGACAGGGAGCGGCAGAGAGGUGGUGACCUGGGGAGCCCACGCCUGUCUGAAGAGAACUGUCUGUAGUCUGCCCUUACCCACAUACUGACUUGUAGGAAAGUCGAAGUCACGUUGCUGGACUGUCUGAUUUCUCAGGAGAAUGCCACAUUUCGGGUUUUUAUGUGAAAAAAAUUGAUAUCGACAAAUAAUCCAAAUUAAUAAACUUAAAAAGUACA